AUGCAGCUGCUUCCUCCUCUUUGGCCUUUUGAGCCUUGGCUUCUUCUUCCAGCAUACGCUCUUUUGCCUCACGCUCUUCGUCCUUCCUCCUGUGCAUUUCUGCAUAGCGCUCUUGUUUGGUCUGCCUUGAUUCACGUGCAGCUUCUUCAGCCUGUCUUUGUGCUUCUCGCUCUUGCCGUUUCUUCUCUUUCUUUGUUGAUGCUCCAGCCUCAUAAUGUUGACCCGCAACAGCUUCAUCAUCACUCUCAUCAACAGCAUCUUCAACGGUUGCUUCAGCAGCUCUUGAUGAGCUAGCUCCAGCUGCUGGUCUUCGACGCAUCCGCCGAGCACCAGUGGCACGCACCACAUUUUCCCUCUGCCGAACCUGAAGCUCUUCUUGAUGUUCAUCAGGUGAUCGAGA
This 400-nucleotide unclassified non-coding RNA is filed under the name Hevea brasiliensis (rubber tree). Lineage: Eukaryota; Viridiplantae; Streptophyta; Magnoliopsida; Malpighiales; Euphorbiaceae. The record is from RNAcentral.